This 304-nucleotide ribosomal RNA is filed under the name Hindola sp. 2 AJB-2014. RNAcentral's name for it is "partial 12S ribosomal RNA". The record is from RNAcentral. Lineage: Eukaryota; Metazoa; Arthropoda; Insecta; Hemiptera; Machaerotidae.
UUAAGUUCCUUAAAUUCAAAGAAUUUGGCGGUAAUUAAGUCUUUUUAGAGGAACCUGUUCUUUAAUUGAUAAUCCACGAUUGAUUUUACUUUAUUAUUAUUUGUAUACCUCUGUCAAAUGAAUGUAUUUUAAGAUUUAUUUUCUUUAUUUUUUGUGAAUUAAUGUUAGGUCAAGGUGCAGUUUUUUAAAGUAGAAAUGGGUUACUAUAAUAAUUUUUGGAUUUUUCUUUGAAAUUUUUGAAUUUGAAAUUGGAUUUAAUAGUAAUUUUUUUUAAAUAAAAAUUUUGAUUUAGGCUCUUAAUUAU